RNAcentral lists this transfer RNA (71 nucleotides) under Patescibacteria group bacterium. RNAcentral's name for it is "tRNA-Ala". It matches the Rfam family "tRNA". From Rfam's summary of the family: Transfer RNA (tRNA) molecules are approximately 80 nucleotides in length. The record is from RNAcentral.
GGGCCUAUAGGUAAGUGGUAUACCGGAUCGUUCGCAACGAUCAGUCGCCAGUCCGAUUCUGGCUAGGUCCA